This 720-nucleotide ribosomal RNA is filed under the name Pantoea dispersa. RNAcentral's name for it is "bacterial SSU rRNA". It matches the Rfam family "Bacterial small subunit ribosomal RNA", at positions 26 to 738 of the family's 1533-position model. The record is from RNAcentral. Lineage: Bacteria; Pseudomonadati; Pseudomonadota; Gammaproteobacteria; Enterobacterales; Erwiniaceae.
AGANUNNGCGCGGGGNNCNNGCNUAACACACACNNNUGGGANGGNAGCACAGAGAGCUUGNUCUUGGGUGACGAGUGGCGGACGGGUGAGUAAUGUCUGGGGAUCUGCCCGAUAGAGGGGGAUAACCACUGGAAACGGUGGCUAAUACCGCAUAACGUCGCAAGACCAAAGAGGGGGACCUUCGGGCCUCUCACUAUCGGAUGAACCCAGAUGGGAUUAGCUAGUAGGCGGGGUAAUGGCCCACCUAGGCGACGAUCCCUAGCUGGUCUGAGAGGAUGACCAGCCACACUGGAACUGAGACACGGUCCAGACUCCUACGGGAGGCAGCAGUGGGGAAUAUUGCACAAUGGGCGCAAGCCUGAUGCAGCCAUGCCGCGUGUAUGAAGAAGGCCUUCGGGUUGUAAAGUACUUUCAGCGGGGAGGAAGGCGAUGCGGUUAAUAACCGCGUCGAUUGACGUUACCCGCAGAAGAAGCACCGGCUAACUCCGUGCCAGCAGCCGCGGUAAUACGGAGGGUGCAAGCGUUAAUCGGAAUUACUGGGCGUAAAGCGCACGCAGGCGGUCUGUUAAGUCAGAUGUGAAAUCCCCGGGCUUAACCUGGGAACUGCAUUUGAAACUGGCAGGCUUGAGUCUUGUAGAGGGGGGUAGAAUUCCAGGUGUAGCGGUGAAAUGCGUAGAGAUCUGGAGGAAUACCGGUGGCGAAGGCGGCCCCCGGACAAAG